This is a long non-coding RNA of Herpailurus yagouaroundi (jaguarundi), 391 nucleotides long. RefSeq lists it as uncharacterized. NCBI's taxonomy places the organism in Eukaryota, Metazoa, Chordata, Mammalia, Carnivora, Felidae. The transcript has 2 exons. The record is from RefSeq and is a predicted model, not a curated record.
CCCGCCGCCGCGGGUCGCGGGCCCCGGAGGGCGUUUGUUCCAGGCCGGGCUGCGGCGGGAAGUCGGUCGCGAGAGGGCGCGUUCUCCCCGCGAUUGCGCAGAUUGCAGGGUACCAGGUGGGCCCGGUGUGUCGCCGAGAGCCAACCGGCGGUAGACCCAGCAGCCCUGCCUAACCUUGCUGAUUGCGAGCGGUAGCUAGAGGAUGUGCGACCUUGAACAGCAAGAACUGAAGCAGAGGAGAGGCAGAGAGAGAGGGAGACGGAGAAUUUGAAGCCAGCUCUGCCAACAGCAGAGAGUCGAAUGCGGGGCUCAAACCCAUGAACCAUGAGAUUAUGACCUGAGCUGAAGUCAGAUGUUUAACCAACUGAGCCACCCAGGUAUCCCCAAAUAA